This 121-nucleotide ribosomal RNA is filed under the name archaeon. The record is from RNAcentral.
CAUGGCGGCCAAAGCGGAGGUGACACACCCGUUCCCAUCCGAACACGGAAGUAAAGCCCUCCAGCGAUUCUGGCUGUACUGUGGUGCGCGAGCCCACGGGAAACUGGAGACGCUGCCAGCC